This 334-nucleotide unclassified non-coding RNA is filed under the name uncultured Ceratobasidiaceae. RNAcentral describes it as "sequence contains ITS2". Lineage: Eukaryota; Fungi; Basidiomycota; Agaricomycetes; Cantharellales; Ceratobasidiaceae. The record is from RNAcentral.
AACGCACCUUGCGCUCCUUGGUAUUCCUUGGAGCAUGCCUGUUUGAGUAUCAUGAGCAAAUCUCAAAGUCGAACCUUUUUGUUAAUUCAAUUGGUGUUUGCUUUGGACUUGGAGGUCUUGCAGAUUUCACCGUCUGCUCCUCUUAAAUGCAGUAGCUGGAUCUCAGUAUUAUGCUUGGUUCCACUCGGCGUGAUAAGUAUCACUCGCUGAGGACACUGGUAAAAAGGUGGCCAGGAAAAUACUGAUUGAACCGCUUCUAACGGUCUAUUAACUUAGACAAUUACCCCCCCUUAAGUUUGAUCUCAAAUCAGGUAGGACUACCCGCUGAACUUAA